RNAcentral lists this ribosomal RNA (275 nucleotides) under uncultured bacterium. RNAcentral describes it as "partial 16S ribosomal RNA". It matches the Rfam family "Bacterial small subunit ribosomal RNA", at positions 338 to 606 of the family's 1533-position model. The record is from RNAcentral.
CCUACGGGUGGCAGCAGUGGGGAAUAUUGGACAAUGGGCGCAAGCCUGAUCCAGCCAUGCCGCGUGAGUGAUGAAGGUCUUCGGAUCGUAAAGCUCUGUGGGAAGGGACGAAAAAGCCGGGCCUAAUACGCACGGCCUUGACGGUACCUUCUUAGCAAGCACCGGCUAACUCCGUGCCAGCAGCCGCGGUAAUACGGAGGGUGCAAACGUUGCUCGGAAUCAUUGGGCGUAAAGCGCACGUAGGCGGUUCGGUAAGUCGGAUGUGAAAUCCCUCG